Molecule: long non-coding RNA, 720 nt
Filed under: Lathyrus oleraceus (garden pea)
Lineage: Eukaryota; Viridiplantae; Streptophyta; Magnoliopsida; Fabales; Fabaceae
Description: Pisum sativum (pea) long non-coding RNA (PSAT_LNC000932)
Source: RNAcentral
UUCUUCAAGAUUUGGAAACCGAUAUUGAAAUCCUUCCAUUUUUAACCCAAAAUUCUUUCAACUUCGUAGAUAUGUUAAGAAACCGGUUCUUCAAGAUUUGGAAACCGAUAUUGAAAUCCUUCCAUUUUUAACCCAAAAUUCUUUCAACUUCGUAGAUAUGUUAAGAAACCGGUUCCUCAAAAUUUGGAAACCGAUAUUGAAAUCCUUCCAUUUUUAACCCAAGAUUCUUUCACCUUCCAUUUUUAACCCAAGAUUCUUUCAACUUUGUAGAUAUGUUAAGAAACCGGUUUAGAGUUUGUAGAGCUAGGACUGCAAAACCGAAACCGAUUUAGAGUUUAUAGAGCUAAGACUGCAAAACCGAUUUAUAGUUUGUAGAACUAGAAAUAUUUGCAUUUAUAAACACAUGUCCAUAUAUUGUCCGAUAUGAGACUCUUAUUAAAUUAGCUUAAUAAAAUUGACCCAUAAUUCUCUCAACUUCUUAACUAUAUCAAUUCUGGUGUAAUUUAGGAAAAUCUCGUAUGAUUGAUUUACAAUUAGGAAACUCUAUCCGAUUCACAAACUCCACCUUGUAAGCUUAUUGAAUUUAAGCUAUGAAAAACUCUAUCCGGUUCAUAAACCCCACCUAAUAUAAAAACAUAACCCCACCUAAUAUAAAAACAGAUUAAUUAUUGAUUUAUAAAUUAGUUAUUAUAUUUAGUCGGUAAAAAAUCCUGAUAUUUG